GACGAACGCUGGCGGCGUGCUUAACACAUGCAAGUCGAACGGAAAGGCCCUGCUUUUGUGGGGUGCUCGAGUGGCGAACGGGUGAGUAACACGUGAGUAACCUGCCCUUGACUUUGGGAUAACUUCAGGAAACUGGGGCUAAUACCGGAUAGGAGCUCCUGCUGCAUGGUGGGGGUUGGAAAGUUUCGGCGGUUGGGGAUGGACUCGCGGCUUAUCAGCUUGUUGGUGGGGUAGUGGCUUACCAAGGCUUUGACGGGUAGCCGGCCUGAGAGGGUGACCGGCCACAUUGGAACUGAGAUACGGCCCAGACUCCUACGGGAGGCAGCAGUGGGGAAUAUUGCACAAUGGGCGGAAGCCUGAUGCGGCAACGCCGCGUGCGGGAUGACGGCCUUCGGGUUGUAAACCGCUUUCGCCUGUGACGAAGCGUGAGUGACGGUAAUGGGUAAAGAAGCACCGGCUAACUACGUG
Molecule: ribosomal RNA, 468 nt
Filed under: uncultured bacterium
Lineage: Bacteria
Description: partial 16S ribosomal RNA
Rfam family: Bacterial small subunit ribosomal RNA
Source: RNAcentral